Molecule: ribosomal RNA, 129 nt
Filed under: Erinaceus europaeus (western European hedgehog)
Lineage: Eukaryota; Metazoa; Chordata; Mammalia; Eulipotyphla; Erinaceidae
Source: RNAcentral
GUAUAUAGCCAUACCACCCUAAACACACCCCAUCUCGUCCAAAGCUAAGCAGGGUGAGGCCUGGUUAGUACUUAAAUGAAAGAUAGGCCUCAAAGAAAUGAUUAGGUCAGAAAAUAGGAGCUCCUCACC